GUCUUGGGGUUGUUAGCAUUGUGUGCUUAUUCGCGCUGCUUUCACAGAAGAUCUCUCUUCUCUUUUCUUUGUGUUUUUCUUUUUUGGAAGCGAGGACAGCAGAUGGCGUUCCAUGACCCGGUGUUUAGCAUGGCACCGAGAAGGCUUCGGGCUGGAAUUGCACCUACUGGACCUCCGUCAGGACCAUUUUCACCCCGACGAGACUCCCACCCCAGGCAGCAUUUACAGGGUGUUCUUCACUAAGCAUCCAGGAUGAAAGACUAUGGUUUGGUGAUCAAAAGCACAUGCCACCUGUUGACCAAGAUUAAUCAGAGAAAAUCAAAAAAAUCCAGCAUUUCUUGGUGCGACGAAACCCCACAAAAGCUUAAAAAACACAAUACAAAAUCAAACCCUGAGUGCACAGCAACAUCUAUGAAACAAUACUUUCUGUUUGUGUACAUGGCUUUAUACCUCGGCCUCUUUUAGAAAACACCAGCGAGGAGGUUUGUUAA
Molecule: long non-coding RNA, 491 nt
Organism: Gasterosteus aculeatus aculeatus (three-spined stickleback)
Lineage: Eukaryota; Metazoa; Chordata; Actinopteri; Perciformes; Gasterosteidae
Source: Ensembl